Molecule: ribosomal RNA, 253 nt
Filed under: uncultured bacterium
Lineage: Bacteria
Description: partial 16S ribosomal RNA
Rfam family: Bacterial small subunit ribosomal RNA
Source: RNAcentral
UACGAAGGUCCCGAGCGUUAUUCGGAAUCACUGGGCGUAAAGGGAGCGUAGGUGGCGUGGAAAGUCAGAUGUGAAAUCCCGGGGCUCAACCCCGGAACUGCAUCCGAUACUACCAUGCUAGAGUAUUGGAGGGGUAACUGGAAUUCUCGGUGUAGCAGUGAAAUGCGUGGAUAUCGAGAGGAACACUCGUGGCGAAAGCGAGUUACUGGACAAUUACUGACGCUGAGGCUCGAAGGCCAGGGGAGCAAAAGGG